AAAGUCGUGUCUGUUAAGUCGGUUAACAGUCGGCUAACAGUCGACUGUUUGGUCUGUAAACAGUCGACUGUUUGGUCGGUAAACAGUCGAAACAGUCGACUGUUACAAGAAAAUAAAACACCCGGAAUAAGCCAAAAUUUAAAUAAAUUUUGUACCCAAGAAUUUGAUUAUUUACAAUUUGGCCCAAAAUUUUAAAUAAAUUUUGUCCAAAAAGUUAAUAUAGGUCGUGCCCGUGCCCGAGUCGGCCGGUCGGACGGACGGCGGCGGCGGCGCGCGUGUGGGUUUAUGACCGAACCCAAUGGGAUAUAGGUCUUCCCCCUUCCAAAGACUAUUGGUACCCCUUGGGGCCCAAACCCAAUUCCAAACUUCCACCUUAUAAACCACACCAAAGUUUCCUAACUUUCCUAUGUGGGAUAAGUGUUUGGCAAAUCAAAUUCUUCCAUAAUCCUUAGUUUAUGUGGGUUACUUUAACGCUUAAUAUUUCAUUCAAUUUUAAAUGGUUUUCGAUAAAUAAAUAUAUCACGUUAAUCAUCUCGCGGAGUAGAACGUGAAUAUGCUAGGUCCCGUAUUAUUUAAAAGGUGGGUCCC
RNAcentral lists this long non-coding RNA (588 nucleotides) under Olea europaea (common olive). Its description in RNAcentral is "long non-coding RNA (OEUR_LNC003484)". Lineage: Eukaryota; Viridiplantae; Streptophyta; Magnoliopsida; Lamiales; Oleaceae. The record is from RNAcentral.